UAAGACGCGUGUGAGAUCUGAGUGAGGGAGAAGUGAGCUAGUGAUGAAUAGGAGAGAGAGCAAAGGGACGCGUGUCCGUGUGAAAGGUGUGGUUUUCUUAAUUUAUUUCUUUUUCCUUUUCUCAUGCAUGAGAUUGGAGAGAGAGGGUGAGGUGGCCACGUGUGAGGUGGAGAAGAGGUUUUAUUCCUUUCGUUUCUUUGUAACCGUUGAGAGAGAGAAGAGUGCCAG
This 228-nucleotide long non-coding RNA is filed under the name Lathyrus oleraceus (garden pea). Its description in RNAcentral is "Pisum sativum (pea) long non-coding RNA (PSAT_LNC014516)". The record is from RNAcentral. Lineage: Eukaryota; Viridiplantae; Streptophyta; Magnoliopsida; Fabales; Fabaceae.